Arachis ipaensis is the source of this 772-nucleotide long non-coding RNA. RefSeq lists it as uncharacterized. The record is from RefSeq and is a predicted model, not a curated record. NCBI's taxonomy places the organism in Eukaryota, Viridiplantae, Streptophyta, Magnoliopsida, Fabales, Fabaceae.
UUAAUUCAGCUGACUCACAAACUGUCUUUCCUAAAUCAAGUAACCUAAGGAGAAACUCCUCAAGCUUUUCCCACCGCCGCUGACCACCGCCGCAGGUCUUACCAUUGCCGACGACCGUCUAUCAUCCUUCACUGAUUCACACUCAUUCAAAUUGAUCGUUUUUCAUGUUUUCAUCCUCUCCCCUCAGAUCAACAUCGCUAUUCUUGCUCGUUCGUGUCUCAGAUCUCAAUUGCUAGGUUCGGUUCCUAUCUUAAAGCAUCGUUAAUGGUGGCAGGAAAGCCAACGCGGAGGUUGAGGAGGUUCUUGAUCAGAUGCUCACUCGUUUGGCUAUCUACGACGAUUCCAAGCUUGAGCCCUUACUCUCCAAGCUUCUCCCUCUCUGCAUACCUUCACUCUUCUUAAACUCCGCCGCUGUUUGCAACAAGUUGCUAGCGACUUAGGGCACAUUGGAGUUAGACUUAAGAGGGAAGAUAGUUUCAGCAUUGAAUUCAUGGAUCUUCAAUCCGAAGAGUUUUCACAGUGGAACUAAUAAGAGUGAAGGGUGGCAAGAUAACUACAGAGCCUGGUCCUGUCAAGGGAGGCAGCACGGUCAUUACAUUCAUUGAAGAUCCUGAUGGCUACAAAUUUGAACUUUUGGAAAGAGGCCCUACUCCCAAGCCCUUGUGCUAAGUGAUGCUUCGAGUCGGUGAUCUUAAGGGUUCCAUAGAAUUUUAUGAGAAGGCUUUUGGUAUGGAGCUCCUUCCCACUCGAGAUAAUCCAGAAUACAAGAUAU